Anguilla rostrata (American eel) is the source of this 1659-nucleotide long non-coding RNA. RefSeq lists it as uncharacterized. The transcript is spliced from 3 exons. The record is from RefSeq and is a predicted model, not a curated record. Lineage: Eukaryota; Metazoa; Chordata; Actinopteri; Anguilliformes; Anguillidae.
ACCUUUGACCACACCCUGACUGCAGUGGGAGACAUUGUCGGGCUCAGCGGCUACCACCACUGGAGAGACAAAUGCAAGCAGUUUGAUCAGAAGUAUCUGAGCAAGCUGCUAAUGAGGAAGUCUGUGUACCGCAAGGGUGAGCUAUGGGACGCGUACUAGAAGAUCAACAUCAGAGAUGCCAUAACCAUCAUUGACCAGCACCUGUGGUUGACCCUUUGGACUGUGAGGAAGAGAAGUGUGUCGGAAAUGCGCUGUACUGGAGGUGUGUCGGAACCCUUGGCCGUUCCCUCACCCCUCACCUGCGAAGAGAAACACCUCCUCUGGAAGGAGAACAGAACCCUCCCUGUCUGCAUCUCCGUGGAGACCACCAAAAUCAUCCCCAUUGACGUACUGCAGGCUUGGAACCAGACCAUCUCCUCCCUAGAGAGCCUGGCAUUCAGUCCCCAGAGCUGCAGGAGGUGCAGCACCUCAUGCCUCCCACGCUGCCUCCUCCAGCUCCUCCCAUUCCCUCUGCUCCGGGCACAGAAAGCAGGGUCCUGCCCAACUGCGAGAGUCCAUGCUUGACUAUGACGAGCCUGGUGACAGCGCCCCCUCCUGGUGGGGACCCACCAGCUUUAGUGUCCCACUGCUGUGUUUCAGGUUCCAUUCUCACUGCUUGCACACCUGCCUUAGUCCAGUUCAGUGAAUCCACAGCAUGGCUGUUACACUUUAGUUAUGAGUUUAAAGUGUUCGCAGCUCACUCAUUCCAACAUGCCCACACUUACAAAAUGAUACCGUAUAGUGGCAACUGCAAUUCUGAUAAUUUAUACCAACACUUAAAGGAGUAAAACAGAAGAGCGAACCUGCUGUGAAAUUACAAUGCAAUAGCUGUAGAAUGUUGUGCCCUUCUACAAUAAUGAAAUCUUGACAGUAUGGUUAUAGAUCACAUCUACACACGGCAUGUUAAGUUAGGAAUGAACAAAUGAUCAGGACUAAUCACUGAGUGGAGGAGACAGAAAAAGUUGCAUAUGUGUGUGAUUUUAUUUCUCUCAUUCCUACUAACUUUCCUUGAUUUUUUGAACAAGCUUAAGCAAAUAUCUUAAGAAAUGCUUUUAAGGUAUAUCUGAAAGUAAGGUAAAUAUAUAAAUCUGUCCAGACCUCAUAUAACCCAGACUCCCUGGGCAUGUCAGCAAGAAGGGUUUUAUGAGGACCAACCCCUCCUCUAACACCCCCCCCCCCCCUUGGAAAUAUAAUAUUUGGAACAGUUUAAAGGUAGUAAAUGGCUAUGACAUGGUCCAAAUUGGAAAUCCCAACAAAACCAUAACAAAUCUGUCAGACAGAGUGCAGCUCAGCUGAGAUGCCUUCCUUUAAUAAAAUACAAUUGGCAGAGCUAGUGCACUGUAACAGAGUAGAUUAUGUGCCUGCCGUAUGGCUUUGGACUAGAAUGUGGUCCUUACAUUGUUACUGAGACAUGCAGCAGAAAUGGGGCGAAUCUCUUUCUAUUCGUUUAUAAGUAUAACCAGAAAUAGUUACUGUCAAUAAUAACUACAGCAAUGAUUCCACUUGACCUACUUUAGGUCUAUAGGUAGGGCCAAGCCUCAUGCUUAAAUCCACAGAAAAUAUGGUGCCCCCUUGAAUACAGCAUUCAGUGACUUUCAACCAACUUUUAAACCAAUACUU